This 562-nucleotide ribosomal RNA is filed under the name uncultured marine bacterium. RNAcentral describes it as "bacterial SSU rRNA". It matches the Rfam family "Bacterial small subunit ribosomal RNA", at positions 56 to 665 of the family's 1533-position model. The record is from RNAcentral.
UGCAAGUCGAACGAACCUUCGGGUUAGUGGCGGACGGGUGAGUAACGCGUGGGAAUCUGCCCUCAGGAGGGGGAUAACGGUUGGAAACGACCGCUAAUACCCCAUAUGCCGAUAGGUGAAAUGAAUUUCGCCUGAGGAUGAGCCCGCGUCUGAUUAGCUAGUUGGUAAGGUAAUGGCUUACCAAGGCUUCGAUCAGUAGCUGGUCUGAGAGGAUGAUCAGCCACACUGGGACUGAGACACGGCCCAGACUCCUACGGGAGGCAGCAGUGGGGAAUUUUCCGCAAUGGGCGAAAGCCUGACGGAGCAACGCCGCGUGAGGGACGAAGGCCUCUGGGCUGUAAACCUCUUUUCUCAAGGAAGAAGAUAUGACGGUACUUGAGGAAUAAGCCACGGCUAAUUCCGUGCCAGCAGCCGCGGUAAUACGGGAGUGGCAAGCGUUAUCCGGAAUUAUUGGGCGUAAAGCGUCCGCAGGCGGCCUUUCAAGUCUGCUGUUAAAGCGUGGAGCUUAACUCCAUUAUGGCAGUGGAAACUGAUAGGCUCGAGUAUGGUAGGGGCAGAGGGA